ACCCGCUGAACUUAAGCAUAUCAAUAAGCGGAGGAAAAGAAACUAACAAGGAUUCCCCUAGUAACUGCGAGUGAAGCGGGAAAAGCUCAAAUUUAAAAUCUGGCGGUUCUGCCGUCCGAGUUGUAGUCUGGAGAAGCGUUUUCCGUGCUGGACCGUGUAAAAGUCUCUUGGAACAGAGCAUCAUAGAGGGUGAGAAUCCCGUCUUUGACACGGACUACCAGUGCUUUGUGAUGCGCUCUCGAAGAGUCGCGUUGUUUGGGAAUGCAGCGCAAAAUGGGUGGUAUAUUCCAUCUAAAGCUAAAUAUUGGCGAGAGACCGAUAGCGAACAAGUACCGUGAGGGAAAGAUGAAAAGCACUUUGGAAAGAGAGUUAAACAGUACGUGAAAUUGUUGAAAGGGAAACGCUUGAAGUCAGUCGUGUCUGCUGGGACUCAGCCUUGCAUUUUUGCUUGGUGUAUUUCCUAGUUGACAGGCCAGCAUCGAUUUUGACCGUUGGAUAAAGUUCGAGGGAAUGUGGCACCUCCGGGUGUGUUAUAGCCCUUGUCCGCAUGCAACGGUUGGGAUCGAGGUUCGCAGCACGCCUUUAUGGCCGGGGUUCGCCCACGUACGUGCUUAGGAUGCUGGCGUAAUGGCUUU
This 635-nucleotide ribosomal RNA is filed under the name uncultured fungus. RNAcentral describes it as "eukaryotic LSU rRNA". It matches the Rfam family "Eukaryotic large subunit ribosomal RNA", at positions 23 to 641 of the family's 3401-position model. The record is from RNAcentral. Lineage: Eukaryota; Fungi.